GACGAACGCUGGCGGCGUGCUUAACACGUGCAAGUCGAACGGAAAGGCCCUGCUUUUGUGGGGUGCUCGAGUGGCGAACGGGUGAGUAACACGUGAGUAACCUGCCCUUGACUUUGGGAUAACUUCAGGAAACUGGGGCUAAUACCGGAUAGGAGCUCCUGCUGCAUGGUGGGGGUUGGAAAGUUUCGGCGGUUGGGGAUGGACUCGCGGCUUAUCAGCUUGCUGGUGGGGUAGUGGCUUACCAAGGCUUUGACGGGUAGCCGGCCUGAGAGGGUGACCGGCCACAUUAGGCCUGAGAUGAGGCCCAGGAUCCUACGGGACGCAGCGGUGGGGAAUAUUGCGCAAUGGGCGGAAGCCUGAUGCAGCAACGCCGCGUGCGGGAUGACGGACUUCGGGUUGUAAACCGCUUUCGCCUGUGACGAAGCGUGAGUGACGGUAAUGGGUAAAAAAGCACCGGCUAACUACGUG
RNAcentral lists this ribosomal RNA (468 nucleotides) under uncultured bacterium. RNAcentral describes it as "partial 16S ribosomal RNA". It matches the Rfam family "Bacterial small subunit ribosomal RNA", at positions 28 to 507 of the family's 1533-position model. The record is from RNAcentral.